GUCCAGACUCCUACGGGAGGCAGCAGUGGGGAAUAUUGCACAAUGGGGGAAACCCUGAUGCAGCGACGCCGCGUGAGUGAAGAAGUAUUUCGGUAUGUAAAGCUCUAUCAGCAGGGAAGAAAAUGACGGUACCUGACUAAGAAGCCCCGGCUAACUACGUGCCAGCAGCCGCGGUAAUACGUAGGUGGCAAGCGUUAUCCGGAUUUACUGGGUGUAAAGGGCGUGUAGGCGGGAAAGCAAGUCAGAUGUGAAAACCAUGGGCUCAACCUGUGGCCUGCAUUUGAAACUGUUGGUCUUGAGUAUCGGAGAGGCAGGCGGAAUUCCUAGUGUAGCGGUGAAAUGCGUAGAUAUUAGGAGGAACACCAGUGGCGAAGGCGGCCUGCUGGACGACAACUGACGGUGAGGCGCGAAAGCGUGGGGAGCAAACAGGAUUAGAUACCCUCGUA
RNAcentral lists this ribosomal RNA (446 nucleotides) under uncultured bacterium. RNAcentral describes it as "partial 16S ribosomal RNA". It matches the Rfam family "Bacterial small subunit ribosomal RNA", at positions 329 to 792 of the family's 1533-position model. The record is from RNAcentral.